Molecule: ribosomal RNA, 253 nt
Filed under: uncultured bacterium
Lineage: Bacteria
Description: partial 16S ribosomal RNA
Rfam family: Bacterial small subunit ribosomal RNA
Source: RNAcentral
UACGAAGGGGGCUAGCGUUGCUCGGAAUCACUGGGCGUAAAGCGCACGUAGGCGGAUUGCUAAGUCAGGGGUGAAAUCCUGGAGCUCAACUCCAGAACUGCCUUUGAUACUGGAGAUCUUGAGUCCGGGAGAGGUGAGUGGAACUGCGAGUGUAGAGGUGAAAUUCGUAGAUAUUCGCAAGAACACCAGUGGCGAAGGCGGCUCACUGGCCCGGUACUGACGCUGAGGCGCGAAAGCGUGGGGAGCAAACAGG